AGAAUAAAACAGUGUACAUCAUUACAGCGUCACCAUCAUCUCCCUAAACCAGCCUGUCUACAUAGUGGAGAAGAAGAUCCCAGAGGUGGAGGAUUCCAUGGGAAAAGCUUUAGGCUGGACUGUGAAAAUCCUCAGUGUGAGAGCUGAGGAUGGGAUUGAGAUGCGCACCAUUUUCAGAGAAACUACAGCCAAGACUUUCGUCAGUUUCUUCGCCAUGGACUCCAGUGGUGCUGUGAUCCCAGCCACGGAGGUCAAAGAGAAAGUGCACAGUGAGCACAAAGUUUUAACAUCGGAGCUGGUGAAUGUUUUUGGUCCUGGUCUGGAAAUCAAAGUGGAGGACAGUUCUGGAAGCUCUGGAGAU
Carassius carassius (crucian carp) is the source of this 361-nucleotide long non-coding RNA. RefSeq lists it as uncharacterized. NCBI's taxonomy places the organism in Eukaryota, Metazoa, Chordata, Actinopteri, Cypriniformes, Cyprinidae. The transcript is spliced from 3 exons. The record is from RefSeq and is a predicted model, not a curated record.